Long non-coding RNA from Amblyraja radiata (thorny skate), 403 nucleotides. RefSeq lists it as uncharacterized. The record is from RefSeq and is a predicted model, not a curated record. The transcript is spliced from 2 exons. NCBI's taxonomy places the organism in Eukaryota, Metazoa, Chordata, Chondrichthyes, Rajiformes, Rajidae.
UUUCUUCCCCUUCGGCUCUGCACAGAGUUAUUAUCAUUUACCCUUAGUAAUAAGUAAAUAAAAAAGCGAGUGUUGUGAAAUACUGCUUUGGGGAGAAUGAUCAGUUGCGGUCGUUCCUUAAACCUACUCUUUUUACUCCCAUCUACUUUCCGUAGAAAUCAAUUGACAAGAGAAUUAAUGUUUAAGAAGGAACUGCAGAUGCUGGAAAAAUCGACGGUAGACAAAAAUGCUGGAGAAACUCAGCGGGAGCCGCUGACUGUGGUGAAUAUGUACAACAUUGAAGCAGUCGCUGGACGAAUAUGUUGCAGCAUUUCUCUACACCAUCACAUAUGUUAAAACAAUAGGAACAAAUAAUAUUAACGGGCUCGCAAAAAUCACACGAAUAAAGUCGCUUAAAAACCAA